UGGGGAAUAUUGCACAAUGGGCGCAAGCCUGAUGCAGCCAUGCCGCGUGUGUGAAGAAGGCCUUCGGGUUGUAAAGCACUUUCAGCGAGGAGGAAGGUGGUGAACUUAAUACGUUCAUCAAUUGACGUUACUCGCAGAAGAAGCACCGGCUAACUCCGUGCCAGCAGCCGCGGUAAUACGGAGGGUGCAAGCGUUAAUCGGAAUACUGGGCGUAAAGCGCNCGCAGGCGGUUUGUUAAGUCAGAUGUGAAAUCCCCGGGCUCAACCUGGGAACUGCAUUUGAAACUGGCAAGCUAGAGUCUCGUAGAGGGGGGUAGAAUUCCAGGUGUAGCGGUGAAAUGCGUAGAGAUCUGGAGGAAUACCGGUGGCGAAGGCGGCCCCCUGGACGAAGACUGACGCUCAGGUGCGAAAAGC
This 413-nucleotide ribosomal RNA is filed under the name uncultured bacterium. Its description in RNAcentral is "partial 16S ribosomal RNA". It matches the Rfam family "Bacterial small subunit ribosomal RNA", at positions 355 to 761 of the family's 1533-position model. The record is from RNAcentral.